This 497-nucleotide ribosomal RNA is filed under the name uncultured bacterium. RNAcentral describes it as "partial 16S ribosomal RNA". It matches the Rfam family "Bacterial small subunit ribosomal RNA", at positions 28 to 507 of the family's 1533-position model. The record is from RNAcentral.
GACGAACGCUGGCGGCGUGCCUAAUACAUGCAAGUUGAGCGCUGAAGGUUGGUACUUGUACCAACUGGAUGAGCAGCGAACGGGUGAGUAACGCGUGGGGAAUCUGCCUUUGAGCGGGGGACAACAUUUGGAAACGAAUGCUAAUACCGCAUAAAAACUUUAAACACAAGUUUUAAGUUUGAAAGAUGCAAUUGCAUCACUCAAAGAUGAUCCCGCGUUGUAUUAGCUAGUUGGUGAGGUAAAGGCUCACCAAGGCGAUGAUACAUAGCCGACCUGAGAGGGUGAUCGGCCACAUUGGGACUGCGACACGGCCCAAACUCCUACGGGAGGCAGCAGUAGGGAAUCUUCGGCAAUGGACGAAAGUCUGACCGAGCAACGCCGCGGGAGUGAAGAAGGUUUUCGGAUCGUAAAACUCUGUUGGUAGAGAAGAACGUUGGUGAGAGUGGAAAGCUCAUCAAGUGACGGUAACUACCCAGAAAGGGACGGCUAACUACGUG